This 253-nucleotide unclassified non-coding RNA is filed under the name uncultured Rhodobacterales bacterium. Its description in RNAcentral is "contains 16S-23S intergenic spacer region". It matches the Rfam family "Bacterial small subunit ribosomal RNA", at positions 524 to 776 of the family's 1533-position model. The record is from RNAcentral. Lineage: Bacteria; Pseudomonadati; Pseudomonadota; Alphaproteobacteria; Rhodobacterales.
UACGGAGGGGACUAGCGUUGUUCGGAAUUACUGGGCGUAAAGCGCGCGUAGGCGGAUUAGUCAGUCAGCGGUGACAUCCCGGGGCUCAACCCCGGAACUGCCUUUGAUACUGCUAGUCGUGAGUUCGAGAGAGGUGAGGGGAAUUCCGAGUGUAGAGGUGAAAUUCGUAGAUAUUCGGAGGAACACCAGUGGCGAAGGCGUCUCACUGGCUCGAUACUGACGCUGAGGUGCGAAAGCGUGUGGAGCAAACAGG